This is a long non-coding RNA of Acanthopagrus latus (yellowfin seabream), 1047 nucleotides long. RefSeq lists it as uncharacterized. The transcript has 2 exons. NCBI's taxonomy places the organism in Eukaryota, Metazoa, Chordata, Actinopteri, Spariformes, Sparidae. The record is from RefSeq and is a predicted model, not a curated record.
GAGGGGGAAACAGAGAGGACGGUUUUGGAAUGAAGAGGAAAGGGGCGAUGAGAGGAAUGGAAAAGUAACCCAUGCUAUCUGAUGGAGAGGAGAGGGUGGGGUAGAGAAUGCACUGGUGAGCCAAUGAAAGCCGCAAUCCAAAUAAGACUUCAAGUUGGUCAUUUUUUCCUGCCAGUAGAAUGUAGAAUAAAACCAGUGGAUUGGCAAAGGCUUGGAUCCAAACACUGCACUCCUAUUGGUGGACUUUUUUUUACAGUAAUAAUGACUGCAUGCAAAUGUUAUCCUAACAAUCUACAGCUAAACUGUCUUUAGUUUUACCAGCUAAAACUCGAGACAGGUUUUUACAAGGACACUGACACACACACACACAUGGUUUCCUGUACUAAGCCUGUCACUCUAAUAGUGUGAGGAGCUAUCUGAAGAAUUUAUUCUGUGAAAAGAAGUCUGGUCACAAAUUAACUUUUUUCACCCUUGACAAUUGGUGGCUGUGUCACGGGGUGACUAUGGGAGAACCAAAGUAUGGGGGGGGGUUUCCAGGGGAGGACUUACCUGGUGUACCAUGAUGGCUGCCUCCAGGGUCCCAGGGGAGAACUUACUUGGUGCACCAAGAUGGCUGCCUGCUGCUGCAAUCAAUACACAAGCACCCAUCAAACCUGAUGUGCUGUAGGUUUGCAGUGACUGGACUGUGUGGCAAUUGGGCCACAAGCUGUGUGUAGGUGUGUUUUAUAUACCUUCAGGUAUUGGACUGGCAAGGUUUUUUUGGCACAUGACAGAAUAGACUGGGAGAAGAGCUGGUUGUGGAGGGGACUGUGGUGGAGCCUGGAGGAACCGAAGCAGGACGGCGUUGACGGAUCAGAUGCCAUCAUUGUGCAGGCGGGCCGUAGCAACCUCCGGCUGACUCUGGGCCACAAUGGAGUCCUAAAGCAGUGACCAAGAGAAAGCAGACUGGACUCUACAUCUCCUGCCUGGACGACUGGACCUGCCUUUUGCUUUUCACCCCCCAUACCUAUUUUUGUAUUAAUAAAGGAAGUUAAUUUUUCUACUUUA